AGCUGGUCCGAGUACAGUGGUGUUUACAACUAAUUGAUCACAACCAGUUACAGAUUCCUUUGUUCCUUCUCCACUCCCACUGCCUCACUUGACUGGCCUUAA
This 102-nucleotide Y RNA is filed under the name Prolemur simus (greater bamboo lemur). RNAcentral's name for it is "Y RNA (ENSPSMG00000005160.1)". It matches the Rfam family "Y RNA". From Rfam's summary of the family: Y RNAs are components of the Ro ribonucleoprotein particle (Ro RNP), in association with Ro60 and La proteins. The Y RNAs and Ro60 and La proteins are well conserved, but the function of the Ro RNP is not known. Lineage: Eukaryota; Metazoa; Chordata; Mammalia; Primates; Lemuridae. The record is from Rfam by way of RNAcentral.